Molecule: long non-coding RNA, 1032 nt
Filed under: Linum usitatissimum (flax)
Lineage: Eukaryota; Viridiplantae; Streptophyta; Magnoliopsida; Malpighiales; Linaceae
Description: long non-coding RNA (LUSI_LNC002180)
Source: RNAcentral
GCCAUGGCAGCUGGUAAUUUCCUCGCUCAUCUCUGUAUCCUAAUUUCUGAUUAAAGGCGAAUCUGAGCCUCUCUGUUUUCCCUUCUCCUUCUCUCUGUUGUCCAAUGCAUGAGCUCUAUGUUGAAAUUACUUUUGUUGUAAACAAGCAAUGAAUUUGAGGAAUAACCAUGUCUAGAUUUCGGAAUAUGCGACUACUAACAUGAUGUCUACUAUUAGCUUUAAAAUUGCAAUAACUCGCGAUCUGUACAGCUGAACAUUGAAAAUUGGGGAUUUAUAUGGAACGUCAGCUAGAAGUCAAGAGUUCUGAUGGGUCGUUCAGUAAGCUCAGCAACACGCCAGCUGCAGCUGUGAAGGAAAUACAUAUAUUGACAGCAGCCGAGAGACCAGAUGAAUCAGAGGAAGACGGAGGAGCGGCCGCUGGAGGAUUUUCAACUUUGGUCACUGCAGGUAGUGGUGGAUCGCCUAUAUCUUUUACAGCUAGAGAUGGUCUCGGAUGACUUGGAGGUGGUAGUUCCAGUCCGCUGAAGUUGAGUAGAGAACCAGGCACGAUUGGCAAGACAACGUGAGUUAGCUGCUGGUUGUUUAGAUCCGAGCAUGGGUUUUCUGGAGCAAUGAAAUAAAGAACAGGCAAAUGAUUAGAACACUCUUUUUCAAAGGUUACUUCUAAUUUGUCUUCUCUCUGAGAAAUGGAAGAAGCUUUUGCAUUGAAUGCUUACUCAUAUAUUUGCUUGCAGUUCUCGGGUAUUCUGUUAUGGUUCCAUUGACUCCAAUUUGAUGGAAAUAAGUAGAGAUCUCAACUAUGGGGUCUGCAAAGUAGUCAAAUGCAAGUGUGAUAUAUUCAUUGUAAAGGGUGGAGACGAACACAGACAGGUUUUCACUUUGCAGUGACUGCACUGCAUCUGUGUAAUUGAGUGUGAAUCCUUCGUUAGUUGGAAUGAUUGAGUAUCUUGUCAAGGUGACUGCAUCCGCAUACUUCUUGAUUUCCUUUGCUGUAGCCUUGGGUAUAUCGCUUAUUUCUUCCUUGACCAUGAG